GACGGAGGGCGCAAGCGUUGUUCGGAAUUACUGGGCGUAAAGCGCGGGCAGGUGGUCUGUUAAGUCGUUUGUGAAAAUCCGGGGCUCAACCCCGUGAAAUGCGUACGAUACUGGCAGGCUGGAGAUCGGUAGAGGCUAGCGGAAUUCCUGGUGUAGCGGUGGAAUGCGUAGAUAUCAGGAAGAACACCCGUGGCGAAGGCGGCUAGCUGGGCCGAGUCUGACACUCAUCCGCGAAAGCGUGGGGAGCAAACAGG
This 254-nucleotide unclassified non-coding RNA is filed under the name uncultured Gemmatimonadota bacterium. RNAcentral's name for it is "uncultured Gemmatimonadetes bacterium contains 16S-23S intergenic spacer region". It matches the Rfam family "Bacterial small subunit ribosomal RNA", at positions 524 to 776 of the family's 1533-position model. Lineage: Bacteria; Pseudomonadati; Gemmatimonadota. The record is from RNAcentral.